Molecule: ribosomal RNA, 253 nt
Filed under: uncultured bacterium
Lineage: Bacteria
Description: partial 16S ribosomal RNA
Rfam family: Bacterial small subunit ribosomal RNA
Source: RNAcentral
UACGAAGGGGGCGAGCGUUGUUCGGAUUUACUGGGCGUAAAGGGCACGUAGGCGGCGCGAGAAGUCGAGUGUGAAAGCCCCGGGCUCAACCUGGGAAUUGCGCUCGAUACUCUAGUGCUUGAGUUCGGGAGAGGAGCGUGGAAUUCCCAGUGUAGAGGUGAAAUGCGUAGAUAUCUGGAGGAACACCGGUGGCGAAGGCGGCAUCCUGGACCAACACUGACACUGAGGAGCGAAAGCCAGGGGAGCAAACGGG